AGGUGGGGAUGACGUCAAGUCCUCAUGGCCUUUAUGCCAGGGCUACACACGUGUUACAAUGGGAGUUACAGAGGGAAGCUAAACCGUGAGGUCAUGYCAAUCCCAGAAAAACUUUCUCAGUUCGGAUCGCAGUCUGCAACUCGACUGCGUGAAGCUGGAAUCGCUAGUAAUCGCGGAUCAGCACGCCGCGGUGAAUACGUUCCCGGGCCUU
This 211-nucleotide ribosomal RNA is filed under the name unidentified marine eubacterium p712-45. RNAcentral's name for it is "partial 16S ribosomal RNA". It matches the Rfam family "Bacterial small subunit ribosomal RNA", at positions 1171 to 1382 of the family's 1533-position model. The record is from RNAcentral.